GCUGGGGCCCAGCUCUGCUGCUGUGGAUUGUUACAGUGGCCUGGGCCUCUACUCCCGCCUCUGUCCUACCAGGAUGGUGCCAGGUGAUGUGGCGAUGAGUGGGCAUCGCGUGGGGGCCUUGGACGAGCGUGGACACCCCAAUCCCCAGACUGGCCAUUGCCGUGGAGGCAGCGUGAGUGUGACAUGGAGCUCGGUGUCGUGCUGCAGAGGACGCCUCGCGGCUGUACGCGUCAUGAUAGCCAGGGACCCCUCCACAUGUCACUUAGCCAAAGGAUGCAGCCCAGCCUGGGGCUUUCUACCCCAGGCCCGAGGACCUGCAGGGACAAGGACCCCUCAGCGCAGAUGCAGCUCUCAUGAGGCCUGAAACCAAGCUGGACUUGCAGAACUGCGCACGCUCCCUUUCUGAAAGAAACACCCGUUACCGGGUCCAGACUGAAUGUGGGCGUAAGAAAGCGGGAAGGGUCCCCCACAGCAAGAGAGAGACCCUCCCAGUCACUUGGUCAUCUGAGCCUUGAGUGUGUCCGGCCCCAGCCACCAGCCUGUCCCCACUAUCCCUCUUGUCAGCACGGCUGAAAGGAGCUGCCUGGGCACCUGAGGUGGCUGAGGCUCAUCUUUGAGGAGCAUGGAACUCGAGGGGAGAAGUCGCGCCCCCAGGGAAGCCAGGCCCUCCGACGGUGGCUCCGUGCCCUCAAAAGAAGGAUGAUCCCUUCCUGGUCCCGCCUGACCCGGGGGAGCUCGGCCCCUGCUGUGCUGUCAGCCUCGCCCCGGCCGCCCGCGCUGACCCCCGCCCGGCUCACAGCACCGCUGGCCGCAGCCUCUCACCGAGAGCUCCUGCCCUCAGCCUCCAGCCGGAGAAGGACUCCCCAUCCCAGCAGAGCUCAGCUCAGCGGGCACGCGCACGACGCAGAAAUCCUUGAUUUCUCAGGUUAGGCGACGGCUGAAUUAUAAACACGGGUAAGACCACGCACCUCCACUUCCCAGCGUUCUGUAUUUUACAACCAUUCUGUGUUUAUUUCAUUGAUCUACUUCCCGGAUUCAACGGUAUACUCCAAGAGGGCAGUGACUAGAAGAACUUUAUCUGUCCCGGCUUCGCUACUGUGCUCCCAGCACGUGCACAGCACACAGCAGACAGUUUUAAAAGCCGCGGAGGCCCCGGGUGGGAGGGGAGAGGAGGCCCCGGAUGGGAGGGGAGAAGAGGUCCCGGGUGGGAGGGGAGAGGAGGCCCCGGAUGGGAGGGGAGAAGAGGUUCCGGAUGGGAGGGGAGAGGAGGCCCCGGAUGGGAGGGGAGAAGAGGUCCCGGGUGGGAGGGGACAGCAGGCCCCGGAUGGGAGGGGAGAAGAGGUCCCGGGUGGGAGGGGAGAGGAGGCCCCGGAUGGGAGGGGAGAAGAGGUCCCGGGUGGGAGGGGAGAGGAGGCCCCGGAUGGGAGGGGAGAAGAGGUCCCGGGUGGGAGGGGAGAGGAGGCCCCGGAUGGGAGGGGAGAAGAGGUCCCGGGUGGGAGGGGAGAGGAGGCCCCGGAUGGGAGGGGAGAAGAGGUCCCGGGUGGGAGGGGAGAGGAGGCCCCGGAUGGGAGGGGAGAAGAGGUCCCGGGUGGGAGGGGACAGCAGGCCCCGGAUGGGGGGGAGAAGAGGUCCCGGG
Molecule: long non-coding RNA, 1636 nt
Filed under: Homo sapiens (human)
Lineage: Eukaryota; Metazoa; Chordata; Mammalia; Primates; Hominidae
Description: non-protein coding KIF25-AS1:8
Source: RNAcentral